RNAcentral lists this ribosomal RNA (332 nucleotides) under Klebsiella quasipneumoniae subsp. similipneumoniae. RNAcentral's name for it is "partial 23S ribosomal RNA". It matches the Rfam family "Bacterial large subunit ribosomal RNA", at positions 1359 to 1693 of the family's 2925-position model. The record is from RNAcentral. Lineage: Bacteria; Pseudomonadati; Pseudomonadota; Gammaproteobacteria; Enterobacterales; Enterobacteriaceae.
CCAACGUUAAUCGGGGCAGGGUGAGUCGACCCCUAAGGCGAGGCCGAAAGGCGUAGUCGAUGGGAAACAGGUUAAUAUUCCUGUACUUGGUGUUACUGCGAAGGGGGGACGGAGAAGGCUAUGUUAGCCGGGCGACGGUUGUCCCGGUUUAAGCAUGUAGGCUGAUUAUCCAGGCAAAUCCGGAUAAUCAAGGCUGAGGUGUGAUGACGAGGCACUACGGUGCUGAAGUAACAAAUGCCCUGCUUCCAGGAAAAGCCUCUAAGCAUCAGGUAACAUCAAAUCGUACCCCAAACCGACACAGGUGGUCAGGUAGAGAAUACCAAGGCGCUUGA